CGGGGGAGGCUGGAUCCUGGGCUGUGUCCCGGCGCCCUGUGCUCCGGGGCCUGCGCUGUUGGAAUAGCGCUCCCGCCCCGCAGCCCCCU
This is a non-coding RNA of Canis lupus familiaris (dog), 89 nucleotides long. NCBI's taxonomy places the organism in Eukaryota, Metazoa, Chordata, Mammalia, Carnivora, Canidae. The record is from Rfam.